GACGAACGCUGGCGGCGUGCCUAAUACAUGCAAGUCGAACGAAGCUGUUUUAACUGGUGCUUGCACCGACUUAAACAACUGAGUGGCGAACGGGUGAAGAACACGUGGGUAACCUGCCCAAAAGCGGGGGAUAACAUUUGGAAACAGAUGCUAAUACCGCAUAAUCACAGAAACCACAUGGUUUCUGUGUCAAAGAUGGUUUCGGCUAUCACUUUGGGAUGGACCCGCGGCGUAUUAGCUAGUUGGUAAGGUAAUGGCUUACCAAGGCAAUGAUACGUAGCCGAACUGAGAGGUUGAUCGGCCACAUUGGGACUGAGACACGGCCCAAACUCCUACGGGAGGCAGCAGUAGGGAAUCUUCCGCAAUGGACGAAAGUCUGAUGGAGCAACGCCGCGUGAGUGAAGAAGGUUUUCGGAUCGUAAAACUCUGUUGUCAGAGAAGAACGUGUGCGAGAGUAACUGUUCGUGCAGUGACGGUAUCUGGCCAGAAAGCCACGGCUAACUACGUGCCAGCAGCCGCCGUAA
Molecule: ribosomal RNA, 524 nt
Filed under: uncultured bacterium
Lineage: Bacteria
Description: partial 16S ribosomal RNA
Rfam family: Bacterial small subunit ribosomal RNA
Source: RNAcentral